This is a long non-coding RNA of Cryptotermes secundus, 1448 nucleotides long. RefSeq lists it as uncharacterized. Lineage: Eukaryota; Metazoa; Arthropoda; Insecta; Blattodea; Kalotermitidae. The transcript has 2 exons. The record is from RefSeq and is a predicted model, not a curated record.
UUGAGUUCUGUUCUAGAGACACAACAACAGUGAGGAUUACAUACACAUCGGGCGGAGGCUGAGAGGAACUCAUCGUCACUUCAGCCUACCUUUCAUAUGAACCACCACUUUCCAAAGAAGUGAGGGACAUCGCUGACUAUUGCCAUCUUAGGAAAAUGCAGAUUAUCAUUGGGUGUGACCACAAUGCUCACCACAGAGUGUGGGGAAGCACUGACAUCAACCCAAGAGAAGAACGCCUCAUGGAAUAUUUGGCACAAUGCAUAUAAUGCCUUCACCCAGAUGGCUUUGCUAACUAGCUGCAUGACAGCAGGAGAGGGAAUGGAGAAACCAAGUCGCUUUUGUCCAUCUCUACAGGAUUACGUUAUAGUGUGCUGAAGGCAAGAAACUGGUGCAUUCCAAACCAUCUGCUGGUAAUGUUGGUGCUGCCACUUCACACCCUUUAGUGUCUUGUGGAGGGUGAAUAAGCAAAAUAUUAUUGUACAAUACAAAAAAACAUGGCUGAGCUGGUCAAAAGAAUAAUCAACAUUUUGAAACCCAUUCUAGCAAACAUACCAAUUUGAUUCAAGGAAACAUGAUGAAAUUCCUCCUACAUACACAUACACGGGAACUUGAAACCAAUACUAUAAAAUUUUACUGGUACUCUAUCAUUGUCACUUUGUUUCAGACAAAUUAAGUUUGGAAUGAUUUACAUGCCACUUGAAAACAGACACAGACUUACCAAAUGUCAAGAAAAUCGCCUGUGAGACUAAUCUCUUGUUAUUCAUUUUACAGCUGCCUUACUUGCAUCAGCAUUACAUUGUCUUGCAGCUUCAGUUCUAAACUAGCAACCUACCCAACACAUCAACUGUAAUCAGUGUGUUGGUCAACCAAUACAUUGGCAAACUUGUCAAAAACUGUACAUCUGCCACUGCAUUGCAAAUUUCAACCUCCAGCCUAAAACAGAGCACAACAGUAUUAGCAAACAUAUUUUUGGAGAAGAAAAAGCGCAUUUACUGUAACUAAGUUAGCCACAUGUAGUACAAAUGGGAAGAAAUGCUCAACAUAACUAAGGAACACAAAUGUCAGCCACACAGGUGUAUCACACAGACAACAACUUCAAUUAAAUCAAGAUAUUUCAUCUUUAUUGGGCAAUUCUUUUAAUUACAGCUUACAAAGCAAAAAGAAGCCAAUAUAUAGUAAUUAUUACGGGCGUGCCGUUGAGUAUUGUGGUCGGACAGUCCUUGAUAUGCAUUUCCGACAUCGGUGGCGGCAACAGUCACGAUAAAACAUAUAUAUCAUACAUUUUAUUAUAAUAACUUCUCUCAUACUAUGUCAUGCCAUAUGUAUUUUUACAUCACAAUUCAUGUGACAUUUUCCUAUUUCUCUUAAUCAAUAAAAUCUCAGUAAGUAUACAACUAUGCCUACACUAGCAAUAAAAACAAGCCAAGUGAUCUGUAGGGGGAAGUGCA